RNAcentral lists this ribosomal RNA (483 nucleotides) under uncultured organism. RNAcentral's name for it is "bacterial SSU rRNA". It matches the Rfam family "Bacterial small subunit ribosomal RNA", at positions 28 to 507 of the family's 1533-position model. The record is from RNAcentral.
GACGAACGCUGGCGGCGUGCCUAACACAUGCAAGUCGAACGAAGCUCUGCGAUACAAGACUUCGGUCAAGUUGAACGGAUGACUUAGUGGCGGACGGGUGAGUAACGCGUGAGGAACCUGCCUUUCAGUGGGGGACAACAGUUGGAAACGACUGCUAAUACCGCAUAAUGUAUUCUGACCGCAUGAUCGGAAUACCAAAGAUUUAUUGCUGAAAGAUGGCCUCGCGUCUGAUUAGAUAGUUGGUGAGGUAACGGCCCACCAAGUCGACGAUCAGUAGCCGGACUGAGAGGUUGAACGGCCACAUUGGGACUGAGAUACGGCCCAGACUCCUACGGGAGGCAGCAGUGGGGAAUAUUGGGCAAUGGGGGAAACCCUGACCCAGCAACGCCGCGUGAAGGAAGAAGGCUUUCGGGUUGUAAACUUCUUUUACCAGGGACGAAGGACGUGACGGUACCUGGAGAAAAAGCCACGGCUAACUACGUG